UCACUUUGGCAGCACAUAUACUAAAAUCGGAACGAUGCAGAAAAGAUUGGCAUGCUUUCUGUGCAAGGAUGGUGCACAAAUUCACGAUGCGUUCUAUAAAAAA
Cavia aperea (Brazilian guinea pig) is the source of this 103-nucleotide small nuclear RNA. The record is from Ensembl. Lineage: Eukaryota; Metazoa; Chordata; Mammalia; Rodentia; Caviidae.